This 500-nucleotide ribosomal RNA is filed under the name uncultured bacterium. RNAcentral describes it as "partial 16S ribosomal RNA". It matches the Rfam family "Bacterial small subunit ribosomal RNA", at positions 30 to 523 of the family's 1533-position model. The record is from RNAcentral.
AUUGAACGCUGGCGGCAUGCCUUACACAUGCAAGUCGAACGGCAGCACGGGAGCAAUCCUGGUGGCGAGUGGCGAACGGGUGAGUAAAGUAUCGGAACGUGCCCAGUCGUGGGGGAUAACGUAGCGAAAGUUACGCUAAUACCGCAUACGAUCUAUGGAUGAAAGCGGGGGAUCGCAAGACCUCGCGCGAUUGGAGCGGCCGAUAUCAGAUUAGGUAGUUGGUGGGGUAAAGGCUCACCAAGCCGACUAUCUGUAGCUGGUCUGAGAGGGCGACCAGCCACACUGGGACGGAAAAACGGCCCAGACUCCUACGGGAGGCAGCAGUGGGGAAUUUUGGACAAUGGGCGAAAGCCUGAUCCAGCCAUGCCGCGUGCAGGAUGAAGGCCUUCGGGUUGUAAACUGCUUUUGUACGGAACGAAAAGGUUUGGGCUAAUAAGCUGAGCUCAUGACGGUACCGUAAGAAUAAGCACCGGCUAACUACGUGCCAGCAGCCGCAGUAA